UCGAUGAUAUUAUCUCUAAUUGCUAACGUUAUAUUAAAUUCGUUAAGAGGGAGAUUCUAUUGAUAAUUUCUACGAUUCUAUUGAUAUACAAACAUGCAAUCAACAUUUUAUUAUUAAUCAUGAGUUAAAUGAAUAUGAACUGACUAAUCAUUAAAACUUUAAAUUUUUCUCAUUUUUUUCCUCACACUUUUUCUUUUUAUUUUAAAUUUUUUCUCCCUAUUUAUUUAUUAUCAUUAAAAAUACUAAUAAUCUAUUUUUAUAAUUUUAAUAAAAUUAACAAUUUAUUUUAUCUCAUAGGUUACUAUCAACACAAUAUUUAUUUUAUUUUAAUAAAUUAUUAUUUUAAUUUGAGAGACAAAAAAUUUAUUUCCAAAAAAACAUCAAUAUUUUGUAAAAUAUUUAUCAACAAAAAUAUUAAUAUAUUUUCUUUCUCU
This 434-nucleotide long non-coding RNA is filed under the name Lathyrus oleraceus (garden pea). RNAcentral describes it as "Pisum sativum (pea) long non-coding RNA (PSAT_LNC027683)". The record is from RNAcentral. Lineage: Eukaryota; Viridiplantae; Streptophyta; Magnoliopsida; Fabales; Fabaceae.